Molecule: transfer RNA, 60 nt
Filed under: Yininemertes pratensis
Lineage: Eukaryota; Metazoa; Nemertea; Pilidiophora; Heteronemertea; Lineidae
Description: tRNA-Lys
Source: RNAcentral
CUUUGAGUAACUAAAAUAAGUGUUGAACUUUUGAUUCAAUAAUGGUUGACCCCCCAAAGU